RNAcentral lists this ribosomal RNA (253 nucleotides) under uncultured bacterium. RNAcentral describes it as "partial 16S ribosomal RNA". It matches the Rfam family "Bacterial small subunit ribosomal RNA", at positions 524 to 776 of the family's 1533-position model. The record is from RNAcentral.
UACGUAGGGUGCAAGCGUUGUCCGGAAUUAUUGGGCGUAAAGAGCUCGUAGGCGGUCUGUCGCGUCGGCUGUGAAAACCCGGGGCUCAACCCCGGGCCUGCAGUCGAUACGGGCAGGCUAGAGUUCGGCAGGGGAGACUGGAAUUCCUGGUGUAGCGGUGAAAUGCGCAGAUAUCAGGAGGAACACCGGUGGCGAAGGCGGGUCUCUGGGCCGAUACUGACGCUGAGGAGCGAAAGCGUGGGGAGCGAACAGG